This 445-nucleotide ribosomal RNA is filed under the name Lancefieldella rimae. Its description in RNAcentral is "bacterial SSU rRNA". It matches the Rfam family "Bacterial small subunit ribosomal RNA", at positions 28 to 483 of the family's 1533-position model. The record is from RNAcentral. Lineage: Bacteria; Bacillati; Actinomycetota; Coriobacteriia; Coriobacteriales; Atopobiaceae.
GAUGAACGCUGGCGGCGCGCCUAACACAUGCAAGUCGAACGGUUAAAGCACCUUUUAGGUGUGUAUAAAGUGGCGAACGGCUGAGUAACACGUGGGCAACCUGCCCUCCUCUUGGGGAUAGCCUCGGGAAACCGAGGAUAAUACCCGAUACUUCAAUGUGGCCGCAUGGCGACAUUGAGAAAGCUUUUGCGGAGAAGGAUGGGCCCGCGGCCUGUUAGCUUGUUGGUGGGGUAGAGGCCUACCAAGGCAAUGAUGGGUAGCUGGGUUGAGAGACCGACCAGCCAGAUUGGGACUGAGACACGGCCCAGACUCCUACGGGAGGCAGCAGUGGGGAAUCUUGCACAAUGGGCGAAAGCCUGAUGCAGCGACGCCGCGUGCGGGACGAAGGCCUUCGGGUUGUAAACCGCUUUCAGCAGGGACGAGGCGAUAAGUGACGGUACCUGCA